UGGGGAAUAUUGCACAAUGGGCGCAAGCCUGAUGCAGCAACGCCGCGUGAGGGACGACGGCCUUCGGGUUGUAAACCUCUUUUAGUAGGGAAGAGGCGAAAGUGACGGUACCUGCAGAAAAAGCACCGGCUAACUACGUGCCAGCAGCCGCGGUAAUACGUAGGGUGCGAGCGUUGUCCGGAAUUAUUGGGCGUAAAGAGCUCGUAGGCGGUCUGUCGCGUCUGCUGUGAAAACCCGAGGCUCAACCUCGGGCCUGCAGUGGGUACGGGCAGACUAGAGUGCGGUAGGGGAGAAUGGAAUUCCUGGUGUAGCGGUGGAAUGCGCAGAUAUCAGGAGGAACACCGAUGGCGAAGGCAGUUCUCUGGGCCGUAACUGACGCUGAGGAGCGAAAGCGUGGGGAGCGAACAGGAUUAGAUACCCUGGUAGUCCACGCCGUAAACGUUGGGCGCUAGAUGUGGGGACCAUUCCACGGUUUCCGUGUCGCAGCUAACGCAUUAAGCGCCCCGCCUGGGGAGUACGGCCGCAAGGCUAAAACUCAAAGGAAUUGACGGGGUCAUACUGUUCCU
This 566-nucleotide ribosomal RNA is filed under the name uncultured bacterium. Its description in RNAcentral is "partial 16S ribosomal RNA". It matches the Rfam family "Bacterial small subunit ribosomal RNA", at positions 355 to 931 of the family's 1533-position model. The record is from RNAcentral.